Molecule: unclassified non-coding RNA, 293 nt
Filed under: uncultured bacterium
Lineage: Bacteria
Description: partial contains 16S ribosomal RNA and 16S-23S ribosomal RNA intergenic spacer region
Rfam family: Bacterial small subunit ribosomal RNA
Source: RNAcentral
CUGUUAACAGAGGUUUCGGCCGCUGGGAUAGUGGCAGACGGGUGAGUAAGGCGUGAGCAACAUGUCCUUCAGUGGGGGAUAACCCUCCGAAAGGAGGGCUAAUACUGCAUUAGAUCCCGCGGGGAAGCACCGCGGGAGGAAAGCCUUCGGGCGCUGAAGGAGGGGCUUGCGUCCUAUCAGGGAGAAAGUUUUUUCUCUUCCUACCAAGGUUUAGACGGGUAGCUGGAAAAAGACGACGAUCAUCCANACUUNCAUCGAGCCAAGAAGUAUNAUCNNNNNGUCAGAUCGGGAGG